Molecule: unclassified non-coding RNA, 660 nt
Filed under: Hevea brasiliensis (rubber tree)
Lineage: Eukaryota; Viridiplantae; Streptophyta; Magnoliopsida; Malpighiales; Euphorbiaceae
Source: RNAcentral
CGAGUGAAUCCCAAGACUUCAAUCACGAGAGCUUCAACAACAAUGGCGGAGAAGGGGAAGAGGCAGCAAUAGAAGAAGUGUCAUUGUUCGCCGAUUUCAAAGAUGGGUCAUCUGAUAGCGAUUCGAGCGCAAUUUUAAACGAAGAUUACAGCCCGACGGCGGGCAUUUCUUCACCCGGGGUGCUGCAGAAUCACCAGCAGUACCAUUUCAUGACGGGAGCGGUAUCUCCGGCGCCCUCCGCCGCCGUGAAACUCAACUACUUGCAGUUUCAGAAGGGGUAUCAACAACAAACCCAGAUGUUUCCAAAAAUGGAGGAGCAUAAUUUCUUCAGUGGAGAGGAGGCUUGUAACUUCUUCUCCGAUGAGCAAGCUCCGACUCUGCACUGGUGGGGCUGAAUCCAUGGUGGCAUAAAGGCGAAAUUUAAGAGAAUAAAAACGGGAAGUAGAUUUGGAAACUUGGGUGUGUAGUAAUUUUGAAGAUGGUUGGAAUGAAGGAAGAAGAUGAUUGAAUUGGGGAAGAGUAAUGGAGAAAUUGAGGUGGGAUUCUCCAUGAAAAUAAUUUGGGCUAAUUUUUCCCUAUUUCCUUUGAUUCUUCCAUGAGUUCGUGAGGGGAAAAUGAUGAGAUGGAAACUGAAAUCUAAGCUGUAAAAAUUAAAACCAG